AUGAUGCUCGACAAGGGCUCCCUGGACCUGGUGCUGGUGCCGUGCGGCCUGCUCAUCAUGUUCGGCUACCACCUCAUCCUCCUCUACCGGAUCCUCCGGCAUCCGGCCGUCACCGUCAUCGGCUACGAGAAUCACAACAAGCUGGCGUGGGUUCGCCGCAUGGCCCAGGCGGCUCCGGAGGAGACCGGGCUGGCGCUGAGCGUGAUCUCCAGCAGUAUCGCAGCGUCCACGAACCUGGCCUCGCUGUCCAUCGCGCUGGGCUCGCUCAUCGGCGCCUGGGUCAGCAGCACAAGCAAGGUGUUCAUGACGGAGCUCGUCUACGGCGACAACAGCCAGGCGACGGCGGCGGUCAAGUACAUCUCCCUCCUCGUCUGCUUUCUGGUGUCCUUCACUUGCUUCAUCCACUCCGCAAGGUACUACGUCCAAGCCAGCUUCCUGGUGACCACGCUGGACUCGGACGUCCCGGCGAGCUACAUGCAGCAUGCGGUGAUCCGGGGCGGCAACUUCUGGUCCAUGGGGCUCCGAGCACUCUACUUCGCAACGACGCUGCUGAUGUGGAUAUUCGGGCCAAUACCGAUGUUCGUCUGCUCAGUGUUCAUGGUGGUCAUCCUACACAUGCUGGACAGCAACUCCCUGCCACUGCACCAGUACCAGUUUACAGUCAGGAAACGGCCUGAUCAGGGGGCUCUGGCUUCUAUUCUAGCUACAAGCCAACCAAGUCCUCGAAAUGCGAUUAUCAACAACCCGAUAUUACCGCCUGUAACAUUCUUCAGUUGA
RNAcentral lists this ribosomal RNA (777 nucleotides) under Triticum aestivum (bread wheat). RNAcentral describes it as "partial small subunit ribosomal RNA". Lineage: Eukaryota; Viridiplantae; Streptophyta; Magnoliopsida; Poales; Poaceae. The record is from RNAcentral.